CCUUUAAUAAAUGAAGCAUGGUUUAAUAUCUUUGUAUUAACAAUAUAAUGGAAUAAAAGAGAGAUAUGAAUGGUUUUACACUAGUCAUUUUUUAACCCUUUAUAGUUUUCUGUUUGGUGUGAACCAAGUUUCGGUGUUGAAGGCCGUAGUUUGAUCUUGAAUAGUUUUCUUUUAACAAAUUGUGUCUUGAAAGGAGAGUUGUCUCAUUGGCACUCUUACCACAUCGUCUCAUAUCUAUAGAACUCCAUACAAAGAAAAAGCUACAUAUCAGACAUAGUGCAUUUUCACAAGUAAGAUAAGGUGUGUGAAAUUCACGCAGUAACCAUCUGUUUAUUAAAAUACAAAUUUUGCUCGAUAAAAAACAUUUAAACUUGAUGAACAGAUAGAUGAAAAAUACAAACGGUAUGUGAAAGUGCAAAAUGUUUCUCCAUAUUUGCAACAUGUCUAACCUGAAAAGUGUCAAUAUAUGAAAAUGAAACUUUUAUUUCAACCUUGCAAUAAUUGUUUGUUAUGAGCAGUUAAAAGACAAGAAAUAUUAUCAUGAUAUGACUUUACAACACAACCCAGUUAAAAUCUGGCUGAUCUCAAGUUCUAUGGAAAAGUUAUCAGAUCCUGAUUAAAAUGUGACACUUGUCGUGUUAAAGAGCAUUUUUGAGCACUUGAUAAUGCGUUGUUUGUCAUAUCUUGACGACGGGUGCCACAUGUGGAGCAUUUUUAUCGGUAAUAUCUUUGCUACAGUAAGAGUAGCGUUUUAUACGUUCUGAAAAUACAUCACUCUAUUAUCUUUGAAAAUAUCACAUUUUAAAACCCUUUACGGAAUGACUAUAAUAUUUUUUUUCUUUCUAUGCAGAAAUAACAUAACAAAUUUGGUGCACACUGAAUAACGCGCGUAGCGGGUUAUCUAAUGGUGUGCACCACACUUUUUUUUUUUUGUUAUUUCGAAUAGACAGAAAACAAUAUUACAGUCAUUUCUUAUAAUUUAAUUCUAAAUUCUAUUUGAAACCGUAGAAAACCAUGAAAAACGGUCACAUGACUAAAUUAUGUCUAUUGGAUGAUAACAAAAUAACGUCAGCCAAUCAGAAGACGCGUUACAGUCAAAAUUAAAUUAUUUAAUUAUGGUUUUUAAAAUUUAUAAUACAAAGCAUAACCAAUAAAUUAAAUACUGUUAGUAACUAAUCAUAAGUAAGGAAAUAGGGUUAGAUGGUAAAUGAAACAACUAUCAACCAGAUACCAAAUGACGUCGAUUAAACCUUGUACAUUGCUAUAAAUUAAUUAUCGUCUGGACAAGUGUCAAUAACUUAAAACAAUAGAUACUUAAGUAUAUGUUAUUUAUUGAUAAGGAAAUCAAUAUAAGUAACCAUGAAAACAAUAUGUAAAAGUCGUAUUACAGUGUUUUAUGGAUAAUAUUUUGAUAUGAAAAAGAUAUUAAUGAUGCGCUGACAUGGAAAAUAAAGUCAAAAUAAAUAUGGACGCUAUCGAUACAGCCAACCAUUCAAACAAAAUUCUUGUAUCUUGUAGAAUACAUGAGUAAAGGUUUUAAGUAAUUGGUCGGGGAAAUAUCCCUCACUUCAUAAUUUACCGGUAACAUAUACAAACAUCACUAGAAACAAGAGCAAAAUGAACGAGAUUGGAUAUAUUAACAUGGUUAAAAUUUGACAAAAAAUAUUUCAUGGUAAAAAGAGUGACAGUUAACAAACGGAAACGAACUCUCGUUCCUUGUAUCGUUAAAUUUAGUCUAAGUAAGGACAGUAAUUGAUAUCUAUUUUUAAUUUGGUUUAAAAACAUUCUCUUGGUAAAUUUCGGGUCUAUAUCAAGACAAUUCUUCAAUAUUUGAAAUAAACAAAAAUAAUUAAAGGACUGCAAUCAGUGUCCAAGGAAAUAUUUAUAACCCGUUGAAGACUAGCCAAAAUGAAUAUUUACACUUUUUGAAGGCCGAAACUGACACAUAUACAAAAAUAUCUUUCAAAACAAAAGCAAAAUUAUAACAUAAAACAUUCUUUGUUAUUCUUGUUAGAUUUAUAAUUUUGUUCAUUUAUAUAUUUAGGAGUUAAGUAUUACAUUCAUUAUCACUGAACUAGUACUCAUUAUUGUUUAGGGACUAGCU
Molecule: long non-coding RNA, 2104 nt
Filed under: Mytilus galloprovincialis (Mediterranean mussel)
Lineage: Eukaryota; Metazoa; Mollusca; Bivalvia; Mytilida; Mytilidae
Source: RNAcentral